RNAcentral lists this unclassified non-coding RNA (200 nucleotides) under soil metagenome. Its description in RNAcentral is "partial contains internal transcribed spacer 2 and large subunit ribosomal RNA". The record is from RNAcentral.
GAGCGUCAUUGCAACACUCAGGCACCGCCUGGUAUUGGGCGCCGCCCGUCGAGGGCGCGCCUUAAACUCCUCGGCGUCGCCGUCCGUCCUCGAGCGCAGCGAGAACUCUUCCAGCGCUACCGAGGCGGGCCGUGGCCGCCGCAACGCACAAUUCUUUCAAUGUUGACCUCGGAUCGGGUGGGGAUACCCGCUGAACUUAA